UGGUUCUCCCCGAAAGCUAUUUAGGUAGCGCCUCGUGAAUUCAUCUCCGGGGGUAGAGCACUGUUUCGGCUAGGGGGCCAUCCCGGCUUACCAACCCGAUGCAAACUGCGAAUACCGGAGAAUGUUAUCACGGGAGACACACGGCGGGUGCUAACGUCCGUCGUGAAGAGGGAAACAACCCAGACCGCCAGCUAAGGUCCCAAAGUCAUGGUUAAGUGGGAAACGAUGUGGGAAGGCCCAGACAGCCAGGAUGUUGGCUUAGAAGCAGCCAUCAUUUAAAGAAAGCGUAAUAGCUCACUGGUCGAGUCGGCCUGCGCGGAAGAUGUAACGGGGCUAAACCAUGCACCGAAGCUGCGGCAGCGAACGUAUCACCCAAGACAACUUUACGGAGUUGACGAUUGACGGAGCGAAGCGACGUCAAAGCGUUCAUUAAAGUCGAGUUGGCUUAGGGAUACGUUCGUUGGGUAGGGGAGCGUUCUGUAAGCCUGUGAAGGUGUGUCGUGAGGCAUGCUGGAGGUAUCAGAAGUGCGAAUGCUGACAUAAGUAACGAUAAAGCGGGUGAAAAGCCCGCUCGCCGGAAGACCAAGGGUUCCUGUCCAACGUUAAUCGGGGCAGGGUGAGUCGACCCCUAAGGCGAGGCCGAAAGGCGUAGUCGAUGGGAAACGGGUUAAUAUUCCCGUACUUGGUGUUACUGCGAAGGGGGGACGGAGAAGGCUAUGUUGGCCGGGCGACGGUUGUCCCGGUUUAAGCGUGUAGGUGUGUGUUCCAGGUAAAUCCGGUUCACUUUAACACUGAGGCGUGACGACGAGGCACUACGGUGCUGAAGCAACAAAUGCCCUGCUUCCAGG
RNAcentral lists this ribosomal RNA (848 nucleotides) under Salmonella enterica subsp. enterica serovar Typhimurium. RNAcentral describes it as "partial 23S ribosomal RNA". It matches the Rfam family "Bacterial large subunit ribosomal RNA", at positions 850 to 1612 of the family's 2925-position model. Lineage: Bacteria; Pseudomonadati; Pseudomonadota; Gammaproteobacteria; Enterobacterales; Enterobacteriaceae. The record is from RNAcentral.